UAGCUCAGUCAGUUGAGCGUGACGCUAACAACGCUAAGGUCGCGGGUUCGAUUCCCGU
This 58-nucleotide transfer RNA is filed under the name Apaloderma vittatum (bar-tailed trogon). It matches the Rfam family "tRNA", at positions 8 to 63 of the family's 71-position model. From Rfam's summary of the family: Transfer RNA (tRNA) molecules are approximately 80 nucleotides in length. Lineage: Eukaryota; Metazoa; Chordata; Aves; Trogoniformes; Trogonidae. The record is from Rfam by way of RNAcentral.